UCGGGAAUUUUGGGCAAUGGGCGAAAGCCUGACCCAGCAACGCCGCGUGAAGGAUGAAGUAUUUCGGUAUGUAAACUUCGAAAGAAUAGGAAGAAUAAAUGACGGUACUAUUUAUAAGGUCCGGCUAACUACGUGCCAGCAGCCGCGGUAAUACGUAGGGACCAAGCGUUGUUCGGAUUUACUGGGCGUAAAGGGCGCGUAGGCGGCGUGGUAAGUCAUCUGUGAAAUCUCCGAGCUUAACUCGGAACGGUCAGAUGAUACUGCUGUGCUAGAGUACAGAAAGGGCAAUCGGAAUUCUUGGUGUAGCGGUGAAAUGCGUAGAUAUCAAGAGGAACACCUGAGGCGAAGGCGGGUUGCUAGGCUGAUACUGACGCUGAGGCGCGAAAGCUAGGGUAGCAAACGGGAUUAGAUACCCUCGUAGUCCCUGAGCGGGCUGGCAAGGCGCAU
This 447-nucleotide ribosomal RNA is filed under the name uncultured bacterium. RNAcentral describes it as "bacterial SSU rRNA". It matches the Rfam family "Bacterial small subunit ribosomal RNA", at positions 355 to 825 of the family's 1533-position model. The record is from RNAcentral.